Molecule: ribosomal RNA, 468 nt
Filed under: uncultured bacterium
Lineage: Bacteria
Description: partial 16S ribosomal RNA
Rfam family: Bacterial small subunit ribosomal RNA
Source: RNAcentral
GAUGAACGCUGGCGGCGUGCUUAACACAUGUAAGUCGAACGGUGAAGGCGGAGCUUGCUCUGCUGGAUCAGUGGCGAACGGGUGAGUAACACGUGAGCAAUCUGCCCCUGACUCUGGGAUAAGCGCUGGAAACGGCGUCUAAUACUGGAUACGAGCUGCGAAGGCAUCUUCAGCAGCUGGAAAGAACUUCGGUCAGGGAUGAGCUCGCGGCCUAUCAGCUUGUUGGUGAGGUAACGGCUCACCAAGGCGUCGACGGGUAGCCGGCCUGAGAGGGUGACCGGCCACACUGGGACUGAGACACGGCCCAGACUCCUACGGGAGGCAGCAGUGGGGAAUAUUGCACAAUGGGCGAAAGCCUGAUGCAGCAACGCCGCGUGAGGGACGACGGCCUUCGGGUUGUAAACCUCUUUUAGCAGGGAAGAAGCGAAAGUGACGGUACCUGCAGAAAAAGCGCCGGCUAACUACGUG